This 246-nucleotide ribosomal RNA is filed under the name uncultured bacterium. Its description in RNAcentral is "partial 16S ribosomal RNA". It matches the Rfam family "Bacterial small subunit ribosomal RNA", at positions 525 to 771 of the family's 1533-position model. The record is from RNAcentral.
ACGUAGGGGGCAAGCGUUAUCCGGAUUUACUGGGUGUAAAGGGAGCGUAGACGGAUGGACAAGUCUGAUGUGAAAGGCUGGGGCUCAACCCCGGGACUGCAUUGGAAACUGCCGUCUUGAGUGCCGGAGAGGUAAGCGGAAUUCCUAGUGUAGCGGUGAAAUGCGUAGAUAUUAGGAGGAACACCAGUGGCGAAGGCGGCUUACUGGACGGUAACUGACGUUGAGGCUCGAAAGCGUGGGGAGCAA